UCGCCCGCGAAAGGGGCUCCCGUUCCCCGUUCUUCGUCUCUCACCCCCCCCCCUUUCCGAAGUCGUCAUUCCCUUUUGCUGCAAAACUAAUUUUUUGCCUUCUUAUUAUUUUGUUAUUUUUUAAUUUUUUUCAGGCUGCUAUGGCGUCAGAUUUCACAGCCCCUCCUCCCUCCCUGUCUAUCACCAAGUCAGCUCUCGUUGCUUCUUCUAUGCCUCGGCACUGCCAACAACACCCAUUCCUUUCCGUGGAACACAGUCGGUGGUGGGUUUUUUACGAUGGGUGCCUUAGUUGCUGUGUUGAAGAAGAAUGGGGUCUCGAAUUUAGGGUUUCUUCCUCUUCUGCUGCUCCUUCGUCUUCUUCUACUACGUCCCUGUUGUGAGUUAAUGGAAAUUUUGCAACAACAACGACAUGCUGGAGGAAAAAAGGAGAGGCUGGGUCCAAUUGGAGAGAAGCUUCAUUUUGGUUUCGACCCUUCUUUGGUAUUGAAAUUAUACAUGUGUAGAGGAGAAUGAUUGGGAGUGGAGAGAAAACACUGAGAAAGUUUGGUCAAUUGUCUUCUUAGCACAUGUCUUCUUUUUAGUUAUUUUUUUAUAUGAUCAACUUUUGAUGUGCAAGCAGAGGUGGGAUGGAUGUCUUUCCCCAAUUUGGACUGAUUGUUGAUCAUUACCACAAAGUCCAACUUCGUCUAAGCAAAGUAGGUUGACCUAUACAAGUUGCUUCUAGAUCCAGUUUAAUUAAUCAUAUAUAUAUAUAUAUAUAUAUAUAUAUGUGUGUGUGUGUGUGUGUAUUCAAUGGCCCAGAUUCCUAUUAAUUAGGUCAUAGUGCUUUGAAUACAUGACAAAUGUCCUCCUCACACAUCACCCAAUCUGACAAGCUUUAUCCAAA
Molecule: long non-coding RNA, 886 nt
Organism: Physcomitrium patens
Lineage: Eukaryota; Viridiplantae; Streptophyta; Bryopsida; Funariales; Funariaceae
Source: RefSeq, a predicted model, not a curated record